GACGAACGCUGGCGGCGUGCCUAACACAUGCAAGUUGAGCGACGAACCAGGGCUUGCCCUGGGGCAAAGCAGCGAACGGGUGAGUAACACGUGGGUAACCUACCCCGAUAACCGGGACAACCCGAGGAAACUCGGGCUAAUACCGGAUGUGCUCACUGGACUUCGGUUCAGUGCGUAAAGGAAGCUUCGGCCUCCGUAUCGGGAGGGGCCCGCGGCCCAUUAGUUUGUUGGUGGGGUAACGGCUCACCAAGACCGCGAUGGGUAGCUGGUCUGAGAGGACGAUCAGCCACACUGGGACUGAGACACGGCCCAGACUCCUACGGGAGGCAGCAGUGGGGAAUCUUGCGCAAUGCGCGAAAGCGUGACGCAGCAACGCCGCGUGGGGGAAGAAGGCCUUCGGGUUGUAAACCCCUUUCAGGAGGGACGAAGGUUCGGCGGUGAAUAGCCGUCCGGACUGACGGUACCUCCACAAGAAGCCCCGGCUAACUACGUG
RNAcentral lists this ribosomal RNA (493 nucleotides) under uncultured bacterium. Its description in RNAcentral is "partial 16S ribosomal RNA". It matches the Rfam family "Bacterial small subunit ribosomal RNA", at positions 28 to 507 of the family's 1533-position model. The record is from RNAcentral.